Molecule: ribosomal RNA, 441 nt
Filed under: uncultured bacterium
Lineage: Bacteria
Description: partial 16S ribosomal RNA
Rfam family: Bacterial small subunit ribosomal RNA
Source: RNAcentral
CCUACGGGGUGCUGCAGUGGGGGAUAUUGCACAAUGGGGGCAACCCUGAUGCAGCGACGCCGCGUGAGCGAUGGAGUACUUCGGUAUGUAAAGCUCUGUCAGCAGGGAAGAGAAUGACGGUACCUGACCAAGAAGCCCCGGCUAAAUACGUGCCAGCAGCCGCGGUAAUACGUAUGGGGCAAGCGUUAUCCGGAUUUACUGGGUGUAAAGGGAGCGUAGGCGGCAGGGCAAGCCUGAUGUGAAAGCCCGUGGCUCAACCCCGGGACUGCAUUGGGAACUGCCCCGCUCGAGUGCCGGAGGGGCAGGCGGAAUUCCUAGUGUAGCGGUGAAAUGCGUAGAUAUUAGGAGGAACACCAGUGGCGAAGGCGGCCUGCUGGACGGUGUACUGACGCUGAGGCUCGAAAGCGUGGGGAGCAAACAGGAUUAGAUACCCCUGUAGUC